GAUGUUAUUGAGUUGUCGCUGAGAAGUUGCUAGUAUGUAUCCAAUAAUUAUGGAACUUCUAAUACAAUAAGAUCACACAUUCUGAACAAACUUUUCUACUUCAUUAAAAACUAGAGUAGCUGAAAAGCUUUUCACUUUGUUUUUCUUGAGUACUUACAACUUUGUAUAAUGUGAAUUCUUUAUCUUUUUUCUCCGCCUUACUUUGGUGAUGAUGGCUUGGUCUGAGAGGACUUACCAGUGAUGGCUUUCUUCACCUUUGCAAUUGAGUGCUUGACUUUUGAUCCAACUCCUGACAAUAUGUUCUGAUGUUUCUUGGGAGGAACUUUGAUAUCAGCAUCUUUGGAGAUUUCUACGAUCACUGGAUCUUCAGAACUUGACUCAUCUCUUGUUUUUUGAAUUCCCUCCUCUUCUCUGUCGCUGCCUUCUCUUUCUUCAGCAAAGUCUUCCUCAAUUUUUGAUGCCUCUUUUGUUGAUACAUGCACAAGAUCAGAUAGUGUGGCCUUAGCUUGUGUCUCUCUCGAUAUGGAUUCCUCUGGUACUUCUUUUGAAUCACAUUCAACUUCUUUCUUGUUUUCAUAAUUUUCCUGAUGUUGUUCUGUUUCAGAAAUUUUGCAUUUUUCCUGCAUGUACUGGAUAUUUUUGGCCUCUGCACCCAGUUCCACAUGUGGGGUAAUGCUGUCUUUGGGAGUACCAUUGGCAUCAGUGCUGCUUGUUGGAAUAGUUUCCUCCCUCUCCAAUGUAAGUAGAGGAUAUGCUGCUUGCUCUUGUAUCUGCUUAGUUGUAUUGCUCUCAUUGCUCACCAUGUCAUCCAUCUCCUUCUCCGAAACCGUAACAGAUUUCAAUGAUGUGAAAUGUUCUGUUACCUUUGUCUCAUUGCAUGUUAUCAUCUCUCCGAAACCUGCUGCUGUUUUUCGUUCUGAUCCAAAAGGUUCCAAACUUUUUCUUUCGGGUUCACUCAUUGUUGUUUCCUCCUCUUUUCGCACCUGUGUUGUGUUGUUUGAGGAAUCUUCACCGGUGGUCUCUCUUAAAUCUUCUUCUUGUUCCUCCUCUUUGAUUGGAGUCUUGAUUUCCAUCGCAACACAUUCACUCUUUGAUUCUGUGGCCUCUUCUGAGAGGUUUGUCUCAGUACGUUGAUGAUUAAUAUUGUUAUUGUCAUCAAUAUCAACUUUCUCCAGUCCUUCUAGCUUUUUGGAUGUUUGUUCUCCAGCAGGUGAAUCUUCAUUCUGCUCUUCUGUAUCCAUGACUGCACAUGUGUUGUGUUUUAUAUGCUGCUUGUGAUCAUCCUUUUCAACUCCUUUCAACAUCAUUAUGCUUUGGAAUUCAUCUCCCCUGUCAAUAUUUUCAUCUGUCUUCACUUCUGAAUUUUCUCCCUCUUUUAACUUCUCUUGGUUGGUUCUGAGGCUAUUUUCUUCUUCAAGGCAAUCCGCACUGGAAAUAUCCUCUGUUUCUGAUUUGUCAAUGAUCUCCUGAACAGGUGCAAUGUAAGGCUUCUCAGUAUUGGUGUCUGCUAUUCCUCCUGCCUGUUUCUCUUCGCCUAGCUCAGCUAACUGAUGCUUCAGUUGUUCCUGUGGGCCUGCACAGCUUUGUAACAUAUUGGUGCCUGUAACUACUGCUGCUUUGUUUUCUUCAGAAAUCUCAAAUGUCUGAUGGAUAAGUUCUUCUGUGGAUUCAGAUAUCUUUUCACUGUUUCUUCCAUUUGUUUCUUUUUCAAUUGGAGUAUCGAGAAUAUAGCUAAUAUCUAUUUCUCUGUUUUGUAGCUCAAGCUUAUCUGCAUCUGUGUACUUAUGAUGAUUUUGGAGCCCGAAAUCAGAGCUUUCAACCUUGUUAGUACAGUCCUCCACCCUCAUUUCUUCUGAAGAAAGUUCAGUUACGUUCUCUGCUCCACGGGCGUCAUUAGCCUCUUCUGUGGUUAGAUUGGCUUGCCGAACAUUCUCUUGAUUGGGGAUUUCUGAAACCACUUUGCCUUCUUCAUAGUUAUUUGCUGCCAUCUCUUGUUUGACGGAUGUUGGAAGUUCAUCAAGAGUCAUUUCUUCUUUUUGUAGGGCAUUAUUGUUUGACUCAUCACCAGCAUCGAUAUCUUUAAGUUCUUUUAUCUCAGUUUCAACUUCUUUGCAAGGUUGUGCUGUUUCUUUGACAAACCGUUCUGCCUGUUUUCCAAUCAAACCUUCUUCUUUCUCUAUUAUAUGUGUUUGAGAUUCAUCAAUUCUUUCAGUGGCAGCUUGUGUCUCUUCCCUGUUUUGUUUUUUGGGUUCUUCAUCAAUUGGUGGUUCUUUAGGUUUCUCUUCAAUUAUUGGUUCUUCAAGUUUCUCUUUAACUGCUAGUUCUUCAGGUAUCUCUUUAACUGCUGGAUCCUCUGGUUCUUCAGGUUUUUCUUUAAUUGUUGGUUCUUCAAAUUUCUCAACUGCUGAUUCCUCAGGUUUCUCCUCAACUGAUGGUUCUUCAUGUUUUUCAUCAACUGCUGCUUCUUGAACUGUAGCUUCUUCAGGUUUCACCUCAACUGUUGGUUCCUCAAGUU
Molecule: unclassified non-coding RNA, 2515 nt
Filed under: Hevea brasiliensis (rubber tree)
Lineage: Eukaryota; Viridiplantae; Streptophyta; Magnoliopsida; Malpighiales; Euphorbiaceae
Source: RNAcentral